Long non-coding RNA from Galeopterus variegatus (Sunda flying lemur), 550 nucleotides. RefSeq lists it as uncharacterized. NCBI's taxonomy places the organism in Eukaryota, Metazoa, Chordata, Mammalia, Dermoptera, Cynocephalidae. The record is from RefSeq and is a predicted model, not a curated record. The transcript is spliced from 4 exons.
ACAUUUUUUCCCUUUAGUUGGUGCUUCUCGUGCUGCUGUUGAUGCUGGCUUUGUUCCCAAUGACAUGCAAGUUGGACAGACAGGAAAAAUAGUAGCACCAGAACUUUAUAUUGCUGUGGGAAUAUCUGGAGCCAUCCAACAUUUAGCUGGGAUGAAAGACAGCAAGACAAUUGUGGCUAUUAACAAAGACCCAGAAGCUCCAAUUUUCCAAGUGGCAGAUUAUGGAAUAGUUGCAGAUUUAUUUAAGGUAGUUCCUGAAAUGACUGAGCUGUUGAAGAAAAAGUGAAUCAUGAUCAUAUUUUAAGAAGGAAAACUAUGUCAAAGUAUUCAGCAGAAAUCGUAGAAGUCCAUGGGUAUAACAUCGCUGGAAAUCAUGGAGAGCUACAUUUUGUAAUUUGAGUGAAAAAUUGUAACAGAUGUGAGAAUGCUUUUUUAUGAGACUGUUAUUAUGUUUCUUUUUAAUUAUUUGUGAUUCCAAACAAUUUUUUUUGAAAUUUUCUAAUUCUGUAAUAAAAUCUAUAAUAAAGCCUUUCCACAGCUUUAAAACUAC